RNAcentral lists this transfer RNA (74 nucleotides) under Thermoleophilia bacterium. RNAcentral describes it as "tRNA-Pro". It matches the Rfam family "tRNA". From Rfam's summary of the family: Transfer RNA (tRNA) molecules are approximately 80 nucleotides in length. Their secondary structure includes four short double-helical elements and three loops (D, anti-codon, and T loops). The record is from RNAcentral. Lineage: Bacteria; Bacillati; Actinomycetota; Thermoleophilia. RNAcentral also lists the same sequence under 2 other names.
CGGGACGUGGCGCAGCCUGGUAGCGCACGCGCUUUGGGAGCGCGGGGUCGUCAGUUCGAAUCUGACCGUCCCGA